UGUCAAGAUGGCCGAGUUGGUCUAAGGCGCCAGAUUAAGGUUCUGGUCCGAAAGGGCGUGGGUUCAAAUCCCACUCUCGACAAUAUUAGAUC
RNAcentral lists this transfer RNA (92 nucleotides) under Helianthus annuus (common sunflower). Its description in RNAcentral is "tRNA-Leu". The stretch from base 2 to 82 matches the Rfam family "tRNA". Rfam says of the family: Transfer RNA (tRNA) molecules are approximately 80 nucleotides in length. Lineage: Eukaryota; Viridiplantae; Streptophyta; Magnoliopsida; Asterales; Asteraceae. The record is from RNAcentral.